RNAcentral lists this transfer RNA (75 nucleotides) under Gekko gecko (tokay). Its description in RNAcentral is "tRNA-Ser". It matches the Rfam family "tRNA". From Rfam's summary of the family: Transfer RNA (tRNA) molecules are approximately 80 nucleotides in length. Their secondary structure includes four short double-helical elements and three loops (D, anti-codon, and T loops). Lineage: Eukaryota; Metazoa; Chordata; Lepidosauria; Squamata; Gekkonidae. The record is from RNAcentral.
GAGAGAUAAGCAUUAAUUUAGGUUAUGCAGCUAGUUUGAAACUAGUAGAAGGGGGUUCAAGUCCACCAUCUCUUG